GACGAACGCUGGCGGCGUGCUUAACACAUGCAAGUCGAACGGAAAGGCCCUGCUUUUGUGGGGUGCUCGAGUGGCGAACGGGUGAGUAACACGUGAGUAACCUGCCCUUGACUUUGGGAUAACUUCAGGAAACUGGGGCUAAUACCGGAUAGGAGCUCCUGCUGCAUGGUGGGGGUUGGAAAGUUUCGGCGGUUGGGGAUGGACUCGCGGCUUAUCAGCUUGUUGGUGGGGUAGUGGCUUACCAAGGCUUUGACGGGUAGCCGGCCUGAGAGGGUGACCGGCAACAUUGGGACUGAGAUACGGCCCAGACGCCUACGGAAGGCAGCAGUGGGGAAGAUUGCACAAUGGGCGGAAGCCUGAUGCAGCAACGCCGCGUGCGGGAUGACGGACUUCGGGUUGUAAACCGCUUUCGCCUGUGACGAAGCGUGAGUGGCGGUAAUGGGUAAAGAAGCACCGGCUAGCUACGUG
This 468-nucleotide ribosomal RNA is filed under the name uncultured bacterium. Its description in RNAcentral is "partial 16S ribosomal RNA". It matches the Rfam family "Bacterial small subunit ribosomal RNA", at positions 28 to 507 of the family's 1533-position model. The record is from RNAcentral.